UUUGUCUUUGUUCAUACAGUUCUUUUAACAUUUGUAAUUCUUUUUCUAAUUCAGCAAUUCUACUAUUUUUGGUUUCUUCUAUUUUUCGUAUUUCUUCUGUAGUUUGUUGUUUUAUUUUUUCUAUUUCUUUUUUCCUAUCUAUUUCUUCAUUUUCUCUUUCUAUUCUUACCAUAGCUGUCAAUUUAUCUUCUAAUUUUUAUUCUUCUUUUUCUAACAUUAAAUAUAAAUGUUCACCAAUUUUCUUAUAUCUUCUUCUUAGAUUAGAAAAUACUAUUUUU
Molecule: long non-coding RNA, 278 nt
Filed under: Capsicum annuum
Lineage: Eukaryota; Viridiplantae; Streptophyta; Magnoliopsida; Solanales; Solanaceae
Description: long non-coding RNA (CANN_LNC006854)
Source: RNAcentral